UGGGUGAUGCUCUGCGGGUGGUUACUUUUCAAAACAAAUCCUUAUUUUUCGUUUACUUCGCGGUAUGAACUGUUAUUUAGUGCUUUCAUGGUGCGUGUGACUCGUAAAGAGGUAGAUGUUGGUGUCCUUUAAUUUUCCCUAGUCUACAGUGAGAAAUAUAAAGGAAAAGGAGAGAAGAUUAAGAGUCGAGUUGAAGAUGGCGCCGCCCCGGCCUGUUGUUGCUUCAGCUUCGGACACGGUAGCGGCCCGCCCCUCGCCCGUCCCUGUCUGAGCAGCGGCUCCAGGCUUGGCAGGGCGCCCAGACAGCCAGUGCUCGCGCCCAGAACCAAGGUGCCAAUGGGACCGAAGGGAGAGUUUGGCGUCGCUUGAGAGUAAUGAUCGUCUCGUGAGGCAGCUCUGAGCACCGCCAGGCCGGGAUGUGUAUUGCAAGGCGCCCCGCAGCGAGUCUCUCUUGGGUGUGGU
Molecule: long non-coding RNA, 462 nt
Organism: Eriocheir sinensis (Chinese mitten crab)
Lineage: Eukaryota; Metazoa; Arthropoda; Malacostraca; Decapoda; Varunidae
Exons: 3
Source: RefSeq, a predicted model, not a curated record